UNUGACUUGAGUGCAGAAGGGGAGAGUGGAAUUCCAUGUGUAGCGGUGAAAUGCGUAGAUAUAUGGAGGANCACCAGUGGCGAAAGCGGCUCUCUGGUCUGUCACUGACGCUGAGGCUCGAAAGCGUGGGUAGCGAACAGGAUUAGAUACCCUGGUAGUCCACGCCGUAAACGAUGAGUGCUAGGUGUUAGGCCCUUUCGGGGGCUUAGUGCCGGAGCUAACGCAAUAAGCACUCCGCCUGGGGAGUACGACCGCAAGGUUGAAACUCAAAGGAAUUGACGGGGGCCCGCACAAGCGGUGGAGCAUGUGGUUUAAUUCGAAGCAACGCGAAGAACCUUACCAGGUCUUGACAUCCCGAUGCUAUUCUUAGAGAUAGGAAGUUACUUCGGUACAUCGGAGACAGGUGGUGCAUGGUUGUCGUCAGCUCGUGUCGUGAGAUGUCGGGUUAAGUCCCGCAACGAGCGCAACCCUUAUUGUUAGUUGCCAUCAUUAAGUUGGGCACUCUAGCGAGACUGCCGGUAAUAAGCCGGAGGAAGGUGGGGAUGACGUCAAAUCAUCAUGCCCCUUAUGACCUGGGCUACACACGUGCUACAAUGGUCGGUACAACGAGUUGCGAGCCGGUGACGGUAAGCUAAUCUCUGAAAGCCGAUCUCAGUUCGGAUUGGAGGCUGCAACUCGCCUCCAUGAAGUCGGAAUCGCUAGUAAUCGCGGAUCAGCACGCCGCGGUGAAUACGUUCCCGGGCCUUGUACACACCGCCCGUCACACCACGAGAGUUUGUAACACCCGAAGUCGGUGAGGUAACCUUUUAGGGGCCAGCCGCC
This 822-nucleotide ribosomal RNA is filed under the name uncultured bacterium. RNAcentral's name for it is "bacterial SSU rRNA". It matches the Rfam family "Bacterial small subunit ribosomal RNA", at positions 636 to 1457 of the family's 1533-position model. The record is from RNAcentral.